UAGCUAGUUGGUGAGGUAACGGCUUACCAAGGCGACGAUCUGUAGCGGGUCUGAGAGGAUGAUCCGCCACACUGGAACUGAGACACGGUCCAGACUCCUACGGGAGGCAGCAGUGGGGAAUUUUGGACAAUGGGGGCAACCCUGAUCCAGUCAUGCCGCGUGAGUGAAGAAGGCCUUCGGGUUGUAAAGCUCUUUCGGCCGGGAAGAAAUCGCAUGGGCCAAUACCCUGUGUGGAUGACGGUACCGGAAUAAGAAGCACCGGCUAACUACGUGCCAGCAGCCGCGGUAAUACGUAGGGUGCGAGCGUUAAUCGGAAUUACUGGGCGUAAAGCGUGCGCAGGCGGUUUUGUAAGACAGGCGUGAAAUCCCCGGGCUCAACCUGGGAACUGCGUUUGUGACUGCAAGGCUAGAGUACGGCAGAGGGGGUGGAAUUCCACGUGUAGCAGUGAAAUGCGUAGAGAUGUGGAGGAACACCAAUGGCGAAGGCAGCCCCCUGGGUCGAUACUGACGCUCAUGCACGAAAGCGUGGGUAGCAAACAGGAUUAGAUACCCUGGUAGUCCACGCCCUAAACUAUGUCAACUAGGUGUUGGGUGGGUAAAACCAUUUAGUACCGUAGCUAACGCGUGAAGUUGACCGCCUGGGGAGUACGGCCGCAAGGUUAAAACUCAAAGGAAUUGACGGGGACCCGCACAGGCGGUGGAUGAUGUGGAUUAAUUCGAUGCAACGCGAAAAACCUUACCUACCCUUGACAUGCCAGGAACUUGCCAGAGAUGGCUUGGUGCCCGAAAGGGAGCCUGGACACAGGUGCUGCAUGGCUGUCGUCAGCUCGUGUCGUGAGAUGUUGGGUUAAGUCCCGCAACGAGCGCAACCCUUGUCGUUAAUUGCCAUCAUUUAGUUGGGCACUUUAGCGAGACUGCCGGUGACAAACCGGAGGAAGGUGGGGAUGACGUCAAGUCCUCAUGGCCCUUAUGGGUAGGGCUUCACACGUCAUACAAUGGUCGGUACAGAGGGUCGCCAAGCCGCGAGGUGGAGCCAAUCCCAGAAAGCCGAUCGUAGUCCGGAUUGCAGGCUGCAACUCGCCUGCAUGAAGUCGGAAUCGCUAGUAAUCGUGGAUCAGCAUGUCACGGUGAAUACGUUCCCGGGUCUUGUACACACCGCCCGUCACACCAUGGGAGCGGGUUCCGCCAGAAGUAGGUAGCCUAACCGCAAGGAGGGCGCUUACCACGGCGGGGUUCGUGACUGGGGUGAAGUCGUAACAAGGUAGCCGUAGGGGAACCUGCGGCUG
Molecule: ribosomal RNA, 1286 nt
Filed under: metagenome
Description: bacterial SSU rRNA
Rfam family: Bacterial small subunit ribosomal RNA
Source: RNAcentral